CGCAACGUGUCUCGAAUUCUUGUUUUACUCUUGUAUCAGGUGUAGAGAUUAAUUUUGUGCUUUCGUCUCUGGAAACAUAGCGUUGGUAUUGUUUCGGACGAUCAAUUGAAACGUGGACUGUCGGCGUUAAUAUCAGGCAAAUUGGAGGUGUCGACGUACAGUUAUGAAACAUUACAUCACCCUCGUUCCUGUAUCGAUUCAAAAUUCAAUUUUCUAUCGCAGGCGAUGUUUAGUCCCUCGAAACGGUAUAGUUUUAAACAGGAGAUUUCCCUCCAUUCUGAGCAGUCCUUGUUUACCAUUUUGCUAGCGUGUAAAUAAACGAUGCAUCGAAUAACACGUUGCAGGAAACUUUUCCAAGAUGGUCCCUUAACCUCACCUUCAUUUUUCGUUCGCACAGUCGCAUCUAAAUCAGAACUUUCGAAUUGGGAAGCGUGCCUCGUUAGACGCGUCGGCUGCGCCGCGUUGCAUGAAAUUGGAAUCGCUGGUCGAAGUUUAAAAUACACGCGUCGAGGAGUGAACGUCUCUGUUAGAUUUGACGCUCGAAAUUUCCUUUCCGUCGAGUCGCCAAAUCCACUUUCGGUCCUAGACAGGUAGCACGCGGAUCCUAGCAUACUCGAAACUGUACAGGAAGUGCAACACUUCGGUUCGAAGCAGAGCUAGGUGAAGUUUAUAGACGAAUACGUUUUGAAAUACUGAUUUUAAACGAUAGGUUUUUUGAAUUGGAUCGUUAUGGAGGUUCUGGAAAAAUCUUUUCUUGCGUGAAAUAAAAUAAUAUUUCAAUUUGGAAAUAUGACGUAUAAAGUGGUUAAACUUUCCGUUUCGACUGCUAUCUUUUGCUAAGAAUAAGUUCAGGAAAGAAGUAAUAUUACAACGCCGGGAAUAAUAUUAGGAAAAGUAACGUGCACAAACUGCGCUGGACAGAUUAUGUCUUAGAACCAACCGUUUCUGUUUCGCAAUAACUUCGAAUUCGAGAUUCUCGCCUAAAUAUACCAGCAAUUCUAAUUUUACAAUGCCGCGAAUAAGCUGGAAAUAAAUUGAGAUAAAUAAAAUAUUUCGGAAUAAAGGCUCCUCGGUUUCCAGUAUUCCACGAAUAAAUUUCUAUCUCUAAAAACUCGUCACGACAAAUAAACCGUCUCGAUUUCGCAAUCUCCGCGCUAGAUUUAGAAUGAAAUCGAUUAUUUACUAUUUGGAAAUGUAUUUCGUCUAGCUCUGGCGUCGAAACAUUCGAUAACAAUGGUCGAUUAACAAUUCCCAGGAGAAUCGGGAGAAUGGAUCGUCACUGAUCAAACAUGAUUGAUCUAGGGCUGCGCUUAUAUUUAUGCAGUAUCACUAAUGAUCUCAAUCUACGCAUAGAAACCUUAACGUACUUUACAAUAAUACAACGUAUGCCAUAUAUCACAGUUUCAAAUAAAAAUUACAGUAAACGCUAUAUACACAUAUAUAUAUAUACAUCUACGUAGCUAAAUAUUUGUAGGAGUUACAAUCAUUGUGUUAUUAAUAAUCAAUGGUUUUUUUUUUAAGGAAAUCAUUAUGCUAAAAGAUAUUAUUUUAGUACAAGUUUAGAAAUAGACUUAAAAAUAAUCAUUAAACAUUAGUGUCCGUCGCAAUAAAUAUAAAAGGAAAUAGUAUGAAGUAUCAGUGACAUCGCGAUUCUUAAUAAAAUAUUUUUAUUCGUAUAUAUGUAUCUAAGGUUUAUCAGUGAUUUUAGUAUUCCAUUAGGAAUCGCAGAUGACUCUAGAUAUUCAAUUACUUUAUAAUAAAUAACAUAUACAAUGCGACAAGAUAAAUGCUUAAUAUGGACUUUUCCUAGACGAGUUACCUAUUGACUUUCUUGUUACUAAAGUGACUAAUGUACAACGAACAGCCAAGAUUCAAGAGGGAAGCAAGCAACGAUUUAAGUCAUAGUAAAAUAAACGCUUUGGCUAGCGAAAGCAGAAUGUUCGUUGGAUAAAAUUGAUCGAACAAUGUAACGUCAAUUUUUGGAAACCUUGAAGUUCGACGAUAAAAUAAAAUUGAA
This is a long non-coding RNA of Hylaeus volcanicus, 2017 nucleotides long. RefSeq lists it as uncharacterized. The transcript has 2 exons. The record is from RefSeq and is a predicted model, not a curated record. Lineage: Eukaryota; Metazoa; Arthropoda; Insecta; Hymenoptera; Colletidae.